RNAcentral lists this ribosomal RNA (253 nucleotides) under uncultured bacterium. Its description in RNAcentral is "partial 16S ribosomal RNA". It matches the Rfam family "Bacterial small subunit ribosomal RNA", at positions 524 to 776 of the family's 1533-position model. The record is from RNAcentral.
UACGUAGGGGGCUAGCGUUGUCCGGAUUUAUUGGGCGUAAAGAGCGUGUAGGCGGCCAGGUAGGUCCGCUGUGAAAGUCCGAGGCUCAACCUCGGAAUGUCGGCGGAAACCCUCUGGCUAGAGUCCGGAAGAGGAGAGUGGAAUUCCCGGUGUAGCGGUGAAAUGCGUAGAUAUCGGGAAGAACACCAGUGGCGAAGGCGCUCUACUGGGCCACAACUGACGCUGAGGGACGAAAGCUAGGGGAGCGAAAGGG